AGGUUCUCGGAGGAGAGAUUCUAGGUAAUGGCAAAGGGCCUUUCCAAGGUGUACCAGUAGUUUUUGUUUGAACUAAUUUGGAAACUAUUGAUUUAGCCAGACGAACAUCACUCGAACAGGGAUUUAAAAUUCCAGAGGCUAAAGCCUUCUCAGCCUUAGACAAUUGAGACAAAGUAAAGCCUGCUGUUGUGGCUUUUUUAAUAAAACCAGGUGUAGAAAGGUCCUCAUCCUCGGAAUCAUCCGAAUUCGAGCGAUCCUGAACCUAGAAAUUUGAUUUAAUUGGACUCACCUGAUCCUGAACUGCAUGUAUUGGUUUAGGUCGCCGAGUGCCUUCAACAACCAGAUCCACCACCCUGGACAACGCUUCCCGUCCCUCUGCACGGUGCCGAUCUACGUUGUCCUCCUCCUCUUCGUUGGACAGCGAUUGGAGUAUACGGCCAGGUGCCAGGGUGAGGCGUCAAGUCCUCCGUCUCAUGGUUCCAUACUGAAUGCUGCAAACAGAGAGAAACAACGACGGCGAAUCGACUGUGAAAGAAAAGGAAGAGAUAUACAGAGACUGGGUAGACUGCG
RNAcentral lists this long non-coding RNA (570 nucleotides) under Sorghum bicolor (sorghum). Its description in RNAcentral is "long non-coding RNA (SBIC_LNC001452)". The record is from RNAcentral. Lineage: Eukaryota; Viridiplantae; Streptophyta; Magnoliopsida; Poales; Poaceae.